AUUGAACGCUGGCGGCAUGCCUUACACAUGCAAGUCGAACGGUAACGGGCCUUCGGGUGCCGACGAGUGGCGAACGGGUGAGUAAUGUAUCGGAACGUACCGUUCAGUGGGGGAUAACGUAGCGAAAGUUACGCUAAUACCGCAUAUUCUGUGAGCAGGAAAGCAGGGGAUCGCAAGACCUUGCGCUGAUUGAGCGGCCGAUAUCAGAUUAGCUAGUUGGUGUGGUAAAGGCCUACCAAGGCGACGAUCUGUAGCGGGUCUGAGAGGAUGAUCCGCCACACUGGAACUGAGACACGGUCCAGACUCCUACGGGAGGCAGCAGUGGGGAAUUUUGGACAAUGGGGGCAGCCCUGAUCCAGCCAUGCCGCGUGAGUGAAGAAGGCCUUCGGGUUGUAAAGCUCUUUCGGCCGGGAAGAAAUCGCAUGGGCUAAUACCCUGUGUGGAUGACGGUACCGGAAUAAGAAGCACCGGCUAACUACGUGCCAGCCGCCGCCGUAA
Molecule: ribosomal RNA, 498 nt
Filed under: uncultured bacterium
Lineage: Bacteria
Description: partial 16S ribosomal RNA
Rfam family: Bacterial small subunit ribosomal RNA
Source: RNAcentral